This 460-nucleotide ribosomal RNA is filed under the name uncultured bacterium. Its description in RNAcentral is "partial 16S ribosomal RNA". It matches the Rfam family "Bacterial small subunit ribosomal RNA", at positions 338 to 795 of the family's 1533-position model. The record is from RNAcentral.
CCUACGGGUGGCAGCAGUGAGGAAUAUUGGUCAAUGGCCGUAAGGCUGAACCAGCCAAGUAGCGUGAGGGAAGACUGCCCUAUGGGUUGUAAACCUCUUUUAUGCGGGGAUAAAGGUGUCCACGUGUGGAUGUUUGCAGGUACCGCAUGAAUAAGGACCGGCUAAUUCCGUGCCAGCAGCCGCGGUAAUACGGAAGGUCCGGGCGUUAUCCGGAUUUAUUGGGUUUAAAGUGAGCGUAGGCGGGUCUUUAAGCGUGCCGUGAAAUUUUGUGGCUCAACCAUGGGAGUGCGGCGCGAACUGGCGACCUGGAGUGCGCGGAAGGCAGGCGGAAUUCGUGGUGUAGCGGUGAAAUGCUUAGAUAUCACGAAGAACCCCGAUGGCGAAGGCAGCCUGCUGCAGCGUUACUGACGCUGAAGCUCGAAAGCGCGGGUAGCGAAUAGGAUUAGAUACCCGUGUAGUC